RNAcentral lists this long non-coding RNA (2436 nucleotides) under Nicotiana benthamiana. RNAcentral's name for it is "long non-coding RNA (NBEN_LNC024426)". Lineage: Eukaryota; Viridiplantae; Streptophyta; Magnoliopsida; Solanales; Solanaceae. The record is from RNAcentral.
GUAGUUGUUGUUGUUGUUGUUGUUGUUGUUCACUCAGCAGCUUGAUGUCAGAUUACAGGAAGUUCGGUCCUUGAAAUACAGAAGACUAAUGAUACAAAUAAUAGCUAGUUUCUAUUCAUUGCCUAGUUUUGUUGCUAAGUUUUACAAAGCAUGUCUAUACUAACUAUUAAAGGAGGGAUCAUCGAGUUUUUCAAAGUACUCUGGUGAUCCACACUGUUCAUCUUUAUUGUUCUUUUCAAGUGCUUGUGUUCAUGAGAAAAAUCUGGGGUUAUCGAAUGGAAAAUUUGGAUCUAGCUUGAAAUGGACUAGUGAAAAUUCGCUGCCCACAAUUGGAGAACUUGUUGAGGAAGUGUUGGCUGAGAAUAUAUCAGUGAGGUCUGAUUCUGAACGGUGCAUGUUAUGAACCAUUCCAAAACCGUUCAUCUGACAGCUGCUUGAGAUUGAGAAGUAGUUUGAUUCAGGGGUUGUAGGAGAGACAAAAGACGGUGAAUAGCCGCCACCUAUCAUCAGAUUUUCAUCAACAUGGGAAAUCUGGAAUUGUCGAUUUUCAUCAAUCAAACCAGAGAAUGUUGGAGGAAAGGAGAAUGAACAUGCUGCUGUCUCAUUCUUGUCCAAAUCAUUAGUAUCGACUCUCAGGUUUGCUUUCAAGUUCAUCAGUAUUUCAUUUGAAUAUUGCUCUGUUUCAUAGUUGGCUUGUUUCUCGAAUUCCUGGUUUUCUGGUGAUUUCGGUUGUAGUGCAGAAUUACUAGCUUGGUGACAAGUAUGAGAGCCUUUGUAUGUGAUCUCAAAUACAGUAGGAUCAUCACCUGACCUUUGCACUUGUUUUGUCGUCCAACAAUUUUGCAUGUGACGAUAUGUGCAUCUGUAGUAACUUCUGCAAAACAUAUAUAUAUAUACUUGGUAUCAGAACAUAGGACUUUGUUUCUGAGAAUUCCUAGAAAAGUAUACUGUUGAUUUCUUAAUUAUGUACUCAGAGGAGGAUCUAGAAUUUAAAUUCUAUGAGUUCAGCAUUUAAGUUUCUUACCAUUGAGCAAUAAUUUGUUGCAAUUUUAAUGGAUUUUUACAUAUAAAUUUCGAAAGUUAUGGUUUAGUGGAACCCGGUGUCAGAAGGCUAGAUCCGUGCCUCCAUGUACUACUAAUAAAGCAUGACCAACAGAGGAUAAGAACUUUUGAUAUUUGAAGUUGAAAGGUAGACAUAAGCUGCUUAUAACAACAACAACAACUACCCUGUAUACUCCCACAAAGUGGGGUCUGGGGAGGGUAAUAUGUAGACGAGCCUUACCCCUACCUGAAAGGGCAGAGAGGCUGUUUCCAAUCGACCCUCGGCUCAGUGAACAUAAGUUGCUUAUAUUUGGUGCAUUUUAUAUUUAGAGCAUGAGAAGGAAUUGACUUAUUACCGAGGAUAUUUAGCUCCAAGAAUGUCUUUCUGACCGUACUUUCUCCAGCUAUAUCCAUCAUCAAUAGGACCUUCAAAUCCAGUCUCUGCACUGACUUUGACUUGUUCAGUCCAUGUAGGCUGUGAUUUUCUGCAACAUACAUCAAGAACCAGGUUAAGUUGACUUAUUCCACGUUUCAUUUUAUAUGACAUUGUUUGGCUGGACACAAAGUUUAAAAAAGAAACUUUGGACCACAUAUUAAAAGUAUCCUUAAAACUUGUUAAUUUAAAUGUCAUGACAUUUCCCGGGGUAGAGCUAGCCUUUGCGGUUGGGGGUUCGGCCGAACUCAAUAGUUUUGGUUCAAACUAUAUAUUUGUUUUAUGAAAUCCAUUGAAUAUAUAAACUAUUAAUUUAGAACUCAGUAGCUUAAAAGGACUAAAAUUUCAAACUCAUUCUGGCUCCGCCGCUAGUCACAUUUCUAUGGUUAUAAGAGCAUGUUCUUAAGAGAAUAAGUGAUAUGUAAAGUUCCAGAGUUUCUAAAUAUAGAAAAAUGUUAUUUUUUUAACGGAAUUUGAUCUACCUCUUCUUUGAAACAUUUAUGAGCUCCUGAUGAUCUUUGAAACUCCUUUUCUUGUCCUCACUCCCAGGACUUCCAUCAACUGAAACAGAAGGUUCGAUCGCGCCACAUGUUGGAGUCACAGGCUGUGGAGAUUGAACGGCCGAUCCACUGCAUUUGAGAAUUAACAGAGAUUGCUCAUAAGAAGAAAGAAUCUUCUGCAGAAGCAAUUCUUGAUUUUCAGAAGUGGAAGCCAUUGAGCUCAAGUAAGAUCUAAGUUGCUUUGUGUGUUCAAUACCUCGAGUUAGCUCAUUGAUAAGUGUAAUAUAUUUCCAAUUGAAAGCACAAUCCAUUUUAAAAGAAGGAAUUGGAAAAGAAAAAGGGGAGCUAUUAUGUAGCCUAGACGCGGCCCCAAGUUUCCCCAACAACAGCUUGCUUAGUAGCUCAACUCUUUCUUCUGACGCGGCGUGUUGAGUUUCUUAGUAAGUGUACUUGAACUUGAAG